RNAcentral lists this ribosomal RNA (253 nucleotides) under uncultured bacterium. RNAcentral describes it as "partial 16S ribosomal RNA". It matches the Rfam family "Bacterial small subunit ribosomal RNA", at positions 524 to 776 of the family's 1533-position model. RNAcentral also lists the same sequence under 1 other name. The record is from RNAcentral.
UACGGAGGGUGCAAGCGUUACUCGGAAUCACUGGGCGUAAAGAGCGUGUAGGCGGAUUUGUAAGUUGGAAGUGAAAUCCUAUGGCUCAACCAUAGAACUGCUUCCAAAACUGCUCAUCUAGAGUGUGGGAGAGGUAGAUGGAAUUUCUGGUGUAGGGGUAAAAUCCGUAGAGAUCAGAAGGAAUACCGAUUGCGAAGGCGAUCUACUGGAACAUAACUGACGCUGAGACGCGAAAGCGUGGGGAGCAAACAGG